This 497-nucleotide ribosomal RNA is filed under the name uncultured bacterium. RNAcentral describes it as "partial 16S ribosomal RNA". It matches the Rfam family "Bacterial small subunit ribosomal RNA", at positions 29 to 507 of the family's 1533-position model. The record is from RNAcentral.
AGUGAACGCUGGCGGUGUGCCUAAUACAUGCAAGUCGAGCGGAAGGACAAGGAGAGCGUUCUCUUGAGGGUAGCGGGGGACGGGCGGGUAACAAGUGGAUCACAAUCCUCUUAGUCUGGGGUGAUAACGGGGAACCGGUGAUACUACUGCCGCAUACAACGAACGGGAUGGAGCAAUAGAGAUUGACGGCUUUGGCGUUUCAUUUAGCCGGAUCCGCGUCGCAUUAGCUAGUUGGUAAGGUAACGGCCUACCAAGGCGACGAUGCGUAGCUGAUCUGAGAGGAUGAUCAGCCACACUGGAACUGAGACACGGUCCAGACUCCUACGGGAGGCAGCAGUGGGGAAUCUUGCGCAAUGGGCGAAAGCCUGACGGAGCAACACCGCGUGGGUGAUGAAGGCCUUCGGAUUGUAAAGCUCUUUUGUUGGGAAAGAACAAAUGUGUGUGUAACCAUGGACGUCUUGACGGUACCUAAAGAGAAAGCCACGGCUAACUUCGUG